This 229-nucleotide ribosomal RNA is filed under the name uncultured bacterium. RNAcentral's name for it is "partial 16S ribosomal RNA". It matches the Rfam family "Bacterial small subunit ribosomal RNA", at positions 568 to 796 of the family's 1533-position model. The record is from RNAcentral.
UCCGUAGGUGGAUAAUUAAGUCAGAGGUGAAAUCCUGCAGCUCAACUGUAGAAUUGCCUUUGAUACUGGUUAUCUUGAGUUAUUAUGAAGUAGUUAGAAUAUGUAGUGUAGCGGUGAAAUGCAUAGAUAUUACAUAGAAUACCAAUUGCGAAGGCAGAUUACUAAUAAUCAACUGACACUGAUGGACGAAAGCGUGGGGAGCGAACAGGAUUAGAUACCCUGGUAGUCC